CCUACGGGGGGCAGCAGUGAGGAAUAUUGGUCAAUGGUCGGGAGACUGAACCAGCCAAGUCGCGUGAGGGAUUAAGGCCCUGCGGGUCGUAAACCUCUUUUGCCGGGGAGCAGAGGUCCGGACGUGUCCGGGCCGGGAGAGUACCCGGAGAAAAAGCAUCGGCUAACUCCUUGCCAGCAGCCGCGGUAAUACGGAGGAUGCGAGCGUUAUCCGGAUUUAUUGGGUGUAAAGGGUGCGUAGACGGGAAAUUAAGUUAGUUGUGAAAUCCCUCGGCUUAACUGAGGAACUGCAACUAAAACUGAUUU
This 305-nucleotide ribosomal RNA is filed under the name uncultured bacterium. RNAcentral describes it as "bacterial SSU rRNA". It matches the Rfam family "Bacterial small subunit ribosomal RNA", at positions 338 to 639 of the family's 1533-position model. The record is from RNAcentral.